UACCAAGACAGACACUUCUAUGGAAUUCUAAGCUCAGUAGCAAGCAAAGAAAUAACUUAACAAACAAAACGACAAUGAAUUCUAACGAACCCAAAAAACUUAAAUUCAACUUCACUUCGUUUGGCUUGGAAUCAUACCCGUCUUCCUUGCAUAUGCAAAAAUCCCACCAGCCUCGAUAACAGGACCUGCAUCCCCAAUAGGCUUGAGCUUGUAUUCUUUCCCCGUCGUAUGGUUGAUCAAACGGCUUUCUCCGAGCUCGAUUGUCACCACGUCGCCGGUCUUACAUUCAUCGCAAAUCCUAAUCUCCGAUUCUAAUGGAUAAAUCUCUCCGGUUGCCACCGAAUUUCUGAAGAAUAUACGCGCAUAAGAUUCAGCAACCACAGCCACGGCGCCGGACGCUCCCAACGCAACCGGCGCGUGCUCUCUUGAAGAACCGCAGCCGAAGUUGUCGCCGG
This 455-nucleotide unclassified non-coding RNA is filed under the name Hevea brasiliensis (rubber tree). The record is from RNAcentral. Lineage: Eukaryota; Viridiplantae; Streptophyta; Magnoliopsida; Malpighiales; Euphorbiaceae.